This 500-nucleotide ribosomal RNA is filed under the name uncultured Glomeromycotina. RNAcentral's name for it is "partial small subunit ribosomal RNA". It matches the Rfam family "Eukaryotic small subunit ribosomal RNA", at positions 591 to 1092 of the family's 1831-position model. Lineage: Eukaryota; Fungi; Glomeromycota. The record is from RNAcentral.
CCAAUAGCGUAUAUUAAAGUUGUUGCAGUUAAAAAGCUCGUAGUUGAAUUUCGGGGUUAGUAGGUUGGUCAUGCCUCUGGUAUGUACUGAUCUCACUGAUUCCUCCCUCUUGACGAACUGUAAUGUCAUUAAUUUGGUGUUGCAGGAAAUCAGGACUGUUACUUUGAAAAAAUUAGAGUGUUUAAAGCAGGCUAAGGCUUGAAUACAUUAGCAUGGAAUAAUGAAAUAGGACGUUUGAUCCUAUUUUGUUGGUUUCUAGGAUUGACGUAAUGAUUAAUAGGGAUAGUUGGGGGCAUUAGUAUUCAAUUGUCAGAGGUGAAAUUCUUGGAUUUAUUGAAGACUAACUACUGCGAAAGCAUUUGCCAAGGAUGUUUUCAUUAAUCAAGAACGAAAGUUAGGGGAUCGAAGACGAUCAGAUACCGUCGUAGUCUUAACCAUAAACUAUGCCGACUAGGGAUCGGAUGAUGUUAAUUAUUUAAUGACUCAUUCGGCGCCUUACG